GCACCGGCUAACUCCGUGCCAGCAGCCGCGGUAAUACGGAGGGUGCGAGCGUUAAUCGGAAGUUACUGGGCGUAAAGACGCAUGCAGGCGGCCUGUUAAGUCAGAUGUGAAAGACCCGGGGCGUUAACCUCCGGAAUUGCAUUUGAAACUAGGCAGGCUAGAGUCUUGUAGAGGGGGGUAGGGAAUUUCAGGUGUAGCGGUGAAAUAGCGUAGAGAUCUGAAGGAAUACCAGUGGCGAAGGCGGCCCCCUCGGACAAAGACUGACGCUCAGAUGCGAAAGCGUGGGGAGCAAACAGGAUUAGAUACCCUGGUAG
Molecule: ribosomal RNA, 314 nt
Filed under: uncultured bacterium
Lineage: Bacteria
Description: bacterial SSU rRNA
Rfam family: Bacterial small subunit ribosomal RNA
Source: RNAcentral